UACGUUCCCGGGCUUGUACACACCGCCCGUCAAGUCAUGAAAGUCGGUAACACCCGAAGCCGGUGGCCUAACCGUAAGGAAGGAGCCGUCGAAGGUGGGAUCGGUGAUUAGGACU
Molecule: ribosomal RNA, 115 nt
Filed under: uncultured bacterium
Lineage: Bacteria
Description: partial 16S ribosomal RNA
Rfam family: Bacterial small subunit ribosomal RNA
Source: RNAcentral